RNAcentral lists this ribosomal RNA (513 nucleotides) under uncultured Entrophospora. Its description in RNAcentral is "SSU rRNA". It matches the Rfam family "Eukaryotic small subunit ribosomal RNA", at positions 569 to 1078 of the family's 1831-position model. Lineage: Eukaryota; Fungi; Glomeromycota; Glomeromycetes; Entrophosporales; Entrophosporaceae. The record is from RNAcentral.
AGUAGCCGCGGUAAUUCCAGCUCCAAUAGCGUAUAUUAAAGUUGUUGCAGUUAAAAAGCUCGUAGUUGAAUUUCGGGAUUGACGUGAUGGUCAUGCCUUAAGGGGUAUGAACUGUUACUGUUGAUUUCUCACCUUCUGGAGAAACUUGAUGUCCUUUAUUGGGUGUCUUGCGGAACCAGGACCUUUACCUUGAAAAAAUUAGAGUGUUUAAAGCAGGCAUUUUUGCUCGAAUACAUUAGCAUGGAAUAAUAGAAUAGGACGGCAUGGUUCUAUUUUGUUGGUUUCUAGGAUCACCGUAAUGAUUAAUAGGGAUAGUUGGGGGCAUUAGUAUUCAAUUGUCAGAGGUGAAAUUCUUGGAUUUAUUGAAGACUAACUACUGCGAAAGCAUUUGCCAAGGAUGUUUUCAUUAAUCAAGAACGAAGUUAGGGGAUCGAAGACGAUCAGAUACCGUCGUAGUCUUAACCAUAAACUAUGCCGACUAGGAAUCAGACGAUGUUAAUUUUUAAUGACUCG